UUGAACGCUGGCGGCAUGCCUUACACAUGCCAGUCGCACGGCAGCAUGAUCUAGCUUGCUAGAUUGAUGGCGAGUGGCGAACGGGUGAGUAAUACAUCGGAACGUGCCCUGUAGUGGGGAUAACUAGUCGAAAGAUUAGCUAAUACCGCAUACGACCUGAGGGUGAAAGUGGGGGACCGCAAGGCCUCAUGCUAUAGGAGCGGCCGAUGUCUGAUUAGCUAGUUGGUGAGGUAAAGGCUCACCAAGGCGACGAUCAGUAGCUGGUCUGAGAGGACGAUCGGCCACACUGGGACUGAGACACGGCCCAGACUCCUACGGGAGGCAGCAGUGGGGAAUUUUGGACAAUGGGCGAAAGCCUGAUCCAGCAAUGCCGCGUGUGUGAAGAAGGCCUUCGGGUUGUAAAGCACUUUUGUCCGGAAAGAAAUGGCUCUGGUUAAUACCUGGGGUCGAUGACGGUACCGGAAGAAUAAGGACCGGCUAACUACGUGC
This 489-nucleotide ribosomal RNA is filed under the name uncultured bacterium. Its description in RNAcentral is "partial 16S ribosomal RNA". It matches the Rfam family "Bacterial small subunit ribosomal RNA", at positions 30 to 508 of the family's 1533-position model. The record is from RNAcentral.